This 122-nucleotide small RNA is filed under the name Fukomys damarensis (Damara mole-rat). RNAcentral's name for it is "TTC28 antisense RNA 1 conserved region 1 (ENSFDAG00000004633.1)". Lineage: Eukaryota; Metazoa; Chordata; Mammalia; Rodentia; Bathyergidae. The record is from RNAcentral.
ACCCAAGCGCAGGAGGUCUCUACUGCACCUGCGCGGCGCGGCGCGCGCAAACCGGGUGGCCUCCCGUGGUUCCUCCCUUCAGCCUGGGUCCCUCUGGGCAUCUGUGCGGCCUACGCUUUCCG